AGCAGCCGCGGUAAUUCCAGCUCCAAUAGCGUAUAUUAAAGUUGUUGCAGUUAAAAAGCUCGUAGUUGAAUUUCGGGAUCAGUUGGUCGGUCGUGCCUCGGUACGUACUGGUCAAAUUGAUUCCUACCUUCUGACGAACCACGAUGUCAUUAAUUUGGUGUCGCGGGAAAUCAGGACUGUUACUUUGAAAAAUUAGAGUGUUUAAAGCAGGCUCGCGCUUGAAUACAUUAGCAUGGAAUAAUGAAAUAGGACGUUUGAUUCUAUUCUGUUGGUUUCUAGGAUCGACGUAAUGAUUAAUAGGGAUAGUUGGGGGCAUUAGUAUUCAAUUGUCAGAGGUGAAAUUCUUGGAUUUAUUGAAGACUAACUACUGCGAAAGCAUUUGCCAAGGAUGUUUUCAUUAAUCAAGAACGAAAGUUAGGGGAUCGAAGACGAUCAGAUACCGUCGUAGUCUUAACCAUAAACUAUGCCGACUAGGGAUCGGAUGAUGUUAAUUUUUAAUGACUCAUUCGGCGCCUUAACC
This 520-nucleotide unclassified non-coding RNA is filed under the name uncultured Glomus. Its description in RNAcentral is "SSU rRNA". It matches the Rfam family "Eukaryotic small subunit ribosomal RNA", at positions 569 to 1093 of the family's 1831-position model. The record is from RNAcentral. Lineage: Eukaryota; Fungi; Glomeromycota; Glomeromycetes; Glomerales; Glomeraceae.